This 973-nucleotide long non-coding RNA is filed under the name Hordeum vulgare. RNAcentral's name for it is "long non-coding RNA (HVUL_LNC014163)". Lineage: Eukaryota; Viridiplantae; Streptophyta; Magnoliopsida; Poales; Poaceae. The record is from RNAcentral.
UUUUGAAGCGGGGCGACGGUGGAGGGGGAUUUUGUUUGGUACAGAGGGUGGGGAAUGUGUCUGGAGGGAUAUUCGUGGCUGGAAUGAUGUGAAUUGCAAUCCCAUAGAAUCAGGAAAUCACCAGGCGCAAACAAAACAUGGGCGGCUCAGGCCAAGGAGAAUAAUCGAGACGUGUCUAGGCGCCACGGAGACGUGUCUAGGCUCAGGCCAAGGAGAAUAAUCGAGACGCGUCGGUGCUGCGGUGUCUAGGCGCCACGGUAGGAUCCAUGUGUUAACGCAAGCUUGGCGUAGGUCGAAUUUUGCGGGUGUAGGUUAGAUUCAAAACGCAGGCGGGGGAAACAUAAACAGCAUCAUUACUAGUGCCCUACCCGCGCAUCCUCGCGGGGAAUAUUUUGGGUACUAUUGGUUUUCAAAUCUGUAGAAAACAUUUAUCGGUUAGUACUUAGAAGGGGAGCCUUGGCGCAGCGGUAAAGCUGUUGCCUUGUGACCAUGAAGGUCACGGUUUCGAGUCCUCGAAACAGACUCUUGCAGAAAUGCAGGGAAAUGUUGUGUACAGAAGACCCAAAGUGGCCGGACACUUCCCUGCACCGGGCUGCCCUUUUUAUUUAUUUAUUUAUCAGUUACUACUUAGCUGGAUCCAUCCAUAUGUUACCCAAGCUUGUCUUGGUUCGGAUUCGUGCGCUUAGUUUAGAUUCAAAACAUGGCCGAGAGGAAACACAAAUAGCAUCAUUACUAGUGCCCUGCCCGUGCAUUGUUGUGGGGAAUAUUUUGGGUAUUAUUAGUUUUCGAGUUUAUUGAAAACAUUUAUCAGUUAGUACUUAGUUAUAACGUUGAGCAUAAGUUCCGUGUAAUUUUAAAAGAAAAGGUGUAUGUAAAUAGUCCAAAUCACUUGAACAUAUAUUUAAGCCUGGAAAACUUUACUUCAUUACAUAAUGUCCCAUUUACAUUGAUUUUCCUUUUAUGAAAGAGAAGA